GCCGACGACGGGUAGCUGGUCUGAGAGGACGAUCAGCCGGAUUGGGACUGAGAUACGGCCCAGACUCCUACGGGGGGCAGCAAUUAGGAAUCUUGCGCAAUGGGCGAAAGCCUGACGCAGCGACGCCGCGUGAGUGAUGAAGGCCUUCGGGUUGUAAAGCUCUGUGGAGGGGGACGAAUAAGUCGUGGCUAACAUCCACGAUGAUGACGGUACCUCUUUAGCAAGCACCGGCUAACUCUGUGCCAGCAGCCGCGGUAAGACAGAGGGUGCAAACGUUGUUCGGAAUUACUGGGCGUAAAGCGCGUGUAGGCUGCCCCGCAAGUCGGAUGUGAAAGCCCUGGGCUCAACCUAGGAAGUGCAUUCGAAACUGCGGGGCUGGAGUCCUGGAGAGGAUAGCGGAAUUCUCGGUGUAGAGGUGAAAUUCGUAGAUAUCGAGAGGAACACCGGUGGCGAAGGCGGCUAUCUGGACAGUGACUGACGCUGAGACGCGAAAGCGUGGGGAGCAAACAGGAUUAGAUACCCUGGUAGUCCACGCCGUAAACGAUGGGUGCUAGGUGUCAGGGGCUUUGACCCCUCUGGUGCCGAAGCUAACGCAUUAAGCACCCCGCCUGGGGAGUACGGCCGCAAGGCUAAAACUCAAAGGAAUUGACGA
Molecule: ribosomal RNA, 652 nt
Filed under: uncultured bacterium
Lineage: Bacteria
Description: bacterial SSU rRNA
Rfam family: Bacterial small subunit ribosomal RNA
Source: RNAcentral